UCCAGGCCCUACGGGGCGCAGCAGUCGCGAAAACUUCACAAUGGGGGAAACCCCGAUGAGGGAAUUCCAAGUGCCAGCACAUUGUGUUGGCUGUUCUCUGGUCUAAAAAACCGGAGAAGUAAGGGCCGGGUAAGACGGGCGCCAGCCGCCGCGGUAAUACCCGCGGCCCAAGUGGUGGUCGAUAUUAUUGAGCCUAAAACGUCCGUAGCCGGUUUUGUAAAUCCUUGGGUAAAUCGACCAGCUUAACUGUUCGAAGUCCGGGGAGACUGCAAGACUUGGGAUCGGGAGAGGUGAGAGGUACUUCUGGGGUAGGGGUAAAAUCCUGUAAUCCUAGAAGGACCACCGGUGGCGAAGGCGUCUCACUAGAACGAAUCCGACGGUGAGGGACGAAGCCCUGGGGCGCAAACGGGAUUAGAUACCCCGGUAGUCCAGGGUGUAAACGCUGCGGGCUUGGUGUUGGGGGUCCUUUGAGGGCGCCCAGUGCCGGAGAGAAGUUGUUAAGCCUGCUGCUUGGGGAGUACGUCCGCAAGGAUGAAACUUAAAGGAAUUGGCGGGGGAGCACCGCAACGGGAGGAGCGUGCGGUUCAAUUGGAUUCAACGCCGGG
This 605-nucleotide ribosomal RNA is filed under the name uncultured euryarchaeote. Its description in RNAcentral is "bacterial SSU rRNA". It matches the Rfam family "Archaeal small subunit ribosomal RNA", at positions 315 to 922 of the family's 1478-position model. The record is from RNAcentral. Lineage: Archaea; Methanobacteriati; Methanobacteriota.